CAAUAGCGUAUAUUAAAGUUGUUGCAGUUAAAAAGCUCGUAGUUGGAUUUGUGGCGUACGGUGUGUUCCGGGCACUUGUUGUCUGAGUAACCUGCUGUUGCCAUCCUUGGGUGGAACCUGUGUGGCAUUAGGUUGUCGUGCAGGGGAUGCCCAUCAUUUACUGUGAAAAAAUUAGAGUGUUCAAAGCUGGCUUAUGCCGUUGAAUAUAUUAGCAUGGAAUAAUGAGAUAGGACUUUUUUGCUAUUUUGUUGGUUUGCGCAAAGAGGUAAUGAUUAAUAGGGACAGUUGGGGGUAUUCGUAUUCCAUUGUCAGAGGUGAAAUUCUUGGAUUUUUGGAAGACGAACUACUGCGAAAGCAUUUACCAAGGAUGUUUUCAUUAA
This 380-nucleotide ribosomal RNA is filed under the name uncultured eukaryote. Its description in RNAcentral is "partial 18S ribosomal RNA". It matches the Rfam family "Eukaryotic small subunit ribosomal RNA", at positions 592 to 976 of the family's 1831-position model. The record is from RNAcentral.